RNAcentral lists this ribosomal RNA (497 nucleotides) under uncultured bacterium. RNAcentral's name for it is "partial 16S ribosomal RNA". It matches the Rfam family "Bacterial small subunit ribosomal RNA", at positions 28 to 507 of the family's 1533-position model. The record is from RNAcentral.
GAUGAACGCUGGCGGCGUGCCUAAUACAUGCAAGUCGAGCGAACAGACGAGGAGCUUGCUCCUCUGACGUUAGCGGCGGACGGGUGAGUAACACGUGGAUAACCUACCUAUAAGACUGGGAUAACUUCGGGAAACCGGAUCUAAUACCGGAUAAUAUAUUGAACCGCAUGGUUCAAUAGUGAAAGACGGUUUUGCUGUCACUUAUAGAUGGAUCCGCGCCGCAUUAGCUAGUUGGUAAGGUAACGGCUUACCAAGGCAACGAUGCGUAGCCGACCUGAGAGGGUGAUCGGCCACACUGGAACUGAGACACGGUCCAGACGCCUACGGGAGGCAGCAGUAGGGAAUCGUCCGCAAUGGGCGAAAGCCUGACGGAGCAACGCCGAGUGAGUGAUGAAGGUCUUCGGAUCGUAAAAAUCUGUUAUUAGGGAAGAACAAAUGUGUAAGUAACUAUGCACGUCUUGACGGUACCUAAUCAGAAAGCCACGGCUAACUACGUG